RNAcentral lists this ribosomal RNA (497 nucleotides) under uncultured bacterium. RNAcentral's name for it is "partial 16S ribosomal RNA". It matches the Rfam family "Bacterial small subunit ribosomal RNA", at positions 28 to 507 of the family's 1533-position model. The record is from RNAcentral.
GAUGAACGCUGGCGGCGUGCCUAAUACAUGCAAGUCGAGCGAACAGAUGAGGAGCUUGCUCCUCUGACGUUAGCGGCGGACGGGUGAGUAACACGUGGAUAACCUACCUAUAAGACUGGGAUAACUUCGGGAAACCGGAGCUAAUACCGGAUAAUAUAUUGAACCGCAUGGUUCAAUAGUGAAAGACGGUUUUGCUGUCACUUAUAGAUGGAUCCGCGCCGCAUUAGCUAGCUGGUAAGGUAACGGCUUACCAAGGCGACGAUGCGUAGCCGACCUGAGAGGGUGAUCGGCCACACUGGAACUGAGACACGGUCCAGACUCCUACGGGAGGCAGCAGUAGGGAAUCUUCCGCAAUGGGCGAAAGCCUGACGGAGCAACGCCGCGUGAGUGAUGAAGGUCUUCGGAUCGUAAAACUCUGUUAUUAGGGAAGAACAAAUGUCUAAGUAACUAUGCACGUCUUGACGGUACCUAAUCAGAAAGCCACGGCUAACUACGUG